AGUCAAUGCUAGAAAUGGACGUUUAGUUAUUGAAUCCCGCUAACGAGGGGAGCCAACAAGAGAGGGAUGUCGGCAUCGGGUGUGCGGUUCCAAGAACUGAUUGGCUGUGGAGAUUAGAAGUUAGGAACCUUUGCAACGGAAAGCGGCCUCGGGCAGGCGCCUUUUGAGCAGAGGAGUAAAACCGUCUCUUCCUGAACCAGUGACAGUGGUUCUCAAACAUUUUGGUCUGAGGACCCCUUUAUGGCCUUAAAAAUGAUCGAAGAGCUUUUAUUUAUGAAGGUAAUACCUGCUAAUACUUGUUGUAAUCUAUUAACAUUGAGAAAUGUAAAAAUUUUUAUUAAUUCACUUAAAAUAUCAAUAAACCCAUUAUUUGCUAAUAUAAAUUGCACUUUUUAAUGAAAAAUAACUUUAGUUUCUACUGUGUGCUUCUGCAUUUUGAAAAUAUGUCUAGGAUACGGUAUGUAUUUAGGAGAUAUUUUCUAAAUAAAUGCAUAUUCAUUUUUUAAAAUGGGACAAAUGUAGCAUAGACAUAUUUUUGCUAACAAUAUCCAUAUAGUUGCAAAUUUCACUUUUAGAAUUUGCUUUCAAAAACAGGUUGUUUAUUCUUCUUUGUUAUGCCUUAGUUAGUAAAUCAUAUAUUAUAAAACUUCUUCAAUGCAAUUGGUCUUUGGUCAGCCAUUGACAUAGGAAGAGUUAGAAAGAGUCCAGGGCUCCUUGGUACUGGCUGUGACUGGAUAAGUAGGUUGUGGCUUAGUUUGUGUUUAGGUGUCAUAACUAGGCUAGGUUUGGGUCCCAGAAAGUGCUAGCCUUACUGUAGGAGAGGAAGUGGUAUUGCUGGGUGUGUCCUCAGGUCAGGAAGUGGGACGAGUGCAGUAUGGAAGCCCAGGGGGGUCCUUGUGACUGGAGGAAAGGUGAGGUUUCCAGUAAAGGAUUCAGAAUUCGGGCAUGGUGCAGCAUGCCUAUAGCCCCAGCUACUCAGGAGGCUGAAGUGGGAGGAUCACUUGAGACCAGGAGUUCAAGGUUGCAGUGAGCUGUCAUUGCGCCACUGCACCCCAGCCUGGGUGACAGAGUGAGACCUGUCUCAAAAAUAAAUACAUAAAAAUAAUAAUUAAAAAAAAAGGAUUCAGAAUUCUAGAAUACAUAUUAUCUUUCUAUCAUGCAGAUCUGUUCUUAGGAUUGUAUUUUCCAAAUCAUGAAUAAAAUAAUUUCCAAAAUACUUAUUGGGAAAUUAUAUAUAUGUACUGUAUUACUUGGAAUAAAAAUCAAAUAAAAGUCAAACUUCUUAAUGUGGCUGUAAAGCCUUGAUUAUUUAAACCUUGCCUAUUUUUCAGUUUAAUCUUUCAGCCACACUGGCCCUUGUGUUAAUCCUAAAACAUGCCAUGCUUUUUCCUACAUUAAAGCUUAGGGUUUUUGAUAUUUCUACUGCCUGGAUUUCUCUGUUCUCACUCUUCCUCUUGAUCACCAUGACUUAUUUUUCAAGUGUUGGCUUAAAUGUCCGUCUCACAGAUAGCCCUUAUCUAAAUAACAGCUUUCCCUCUGGUUCCUAGAUAAAUUAGGACCUGUUUUUUUCUAUAACUUUCUUAAAGUAUCCUAUUAUUUUCCCUGAUAAAACCUUGUUGGACUGUUUGUCAGUAUAUUUAUUUGCCUGUUUGUUUGGUGUCAGUUUCUCUUUUUUUCCUGUGUGUUUUGUUUGUUUGUUUUUUUGAGACGCAGUUUCACUCUGUCACCAGGCUGGAGUGCAAUGGUGCAAUCUCGGCUCACCACAACCUCCACCUCCCAGGUUCAAGCAAUUCUUCUGCCUCAGCCUCCCGAGUAGCUGGGAUUACAGGCAUGUGCCACCAUCCUGGCUAAUUUUGUAUUUUUAGUAGAGACAGGGUUUUUCCAUGUUGGUCAGGCUGGUCGCAAACUCCCGACCUCAGGUGAUCCGCCUGUCUUGGCCUCCCAAGGUGCUGAGAUUACAGGCGUGAACCACCGCACCCGGCCUGUUUGUUUGUUUUCUUAUUAGACUAUAAACUAUAUGAGAUCAGACCAUGUCUCUUUUGUUUAUCACUCUGGCCUACCUGCUAACACAGUGCUUACACAUAAUAGUAGGUGCUCAAGAAAUACAGUGUUUGAUGGAUGAACGUAAAAUUGUAAGAGCCUGAACUAGUGUAAUAUCGAAAAUAGGGAGGAAGACAUGAAUUAGGAAAGCCUUUGAAAAAUUAGCAUGUUCUGUGAUAAAGCUACAUCUAGGCAAUAUUUUUUGAUACUUUUAAAAAAAAAACUGUAAUAGCUACCCAAUAUUUAGGAAUGAUACACAUCACACAUCUCAGUGAGGUAUGUAGCCUUUUGUACUGGUGAAGAGAGCCAGGUGAAGUCUAACUCUAAGGAUCUAAACACUCCAUUCUAGUAGAGAGCCUGGAGAAGUGCUCUUGCAUAAGCUCAUCCAUGUAAGACCAUCCAUAACUUAGUGAAAUAAUUUUCAUUGCUGUUUAGUUGCAAAAAUCACUCACUGUUUUGCCUCCAUAAGAUUAUCGGUUUUAGUGUUUAAUCGUUCACAGCCUUGUCAAAACCAAAAUGGCUAGGGAGAGAACUAUUUCCCUACAUUAAAACUUCGAGCAAUGCUCUUCAUAGAUUUUGUUUUGAAUUGUUUAGGCCCAUCUCAGAGUUCAAGACACUUAGUCUCUUCUAAGAGAAAUCAUGGUCACAACAAACAGAGAUUAAAUAAAGAGCAAGAAAUUAGAAGAAACUCAAACCAUUCACUUAGAUUAUUUGUUAGAUUUUGGCCUUAAAAAGAGACAAAGUUGCUUGAAACAAGUGAUUAAACUGACAUUUUUAGAUUAUUAUUUUAUUCAUACCUUUAUUGUGAAUAAAUUGGCCACAUGAUAACAUUUUAUAAUGUUAAAUAAAUAUGAUAUAUAUAAAUCUGUAUACCACAACAAUUAAAUUGGAGGGCGAUUUGCCAUUUAAAUAAUUUAUCAUAGGAUUUUUAUAAGAUCAAGCGCUUAGUGCAUAUCAAAGAGACAGAAAGUUUUCAUUGCAGUUCUGCACGUUCACUGAGUACCUUUUAUGUACCAGUUGCAUUGUUCUAGAAUCUUAUCUAUCAUGUAAAGCUAGGUACACCUGAAAUAGUUUAGUUAUGGUGGCAAAGUUAGACUGCAGUUAUUGGCUGGGAAUUUUUUGUAUAUCUAUGUACAUCUUCCAUAAGAGGGCAGCAAAGGACCAGCAUGAUUUUUUCCUUAUCAUGAAGUCAUAGCAGAGAUUGCCUCAUAUUGCAAACUUAAUAGAAAUCUUCUCAGAGUAAGGGCAAACAGAGGGCAUGGUUACAAGUUUACUUACUGUCUAGCCUGUCUUUUAUAUGGUCUGAUAUGGCUUUUUAGUACAUAGAUUAUCUCACAUCACAGUGAUAGCCUAGUGAUUAAAUGUUGAUCCUGGGGUCAGUUGUCAGGCUUUAAAUCCUGGAACCAUAACUUAACUAGCUUCGUGGUCUAGAAAGACUACUCAGUCUUUCUGAGCCUCAGUUUCUUCCUCAAUUUUUUAUAAAAAGGAGGGCAAGGGAUAGUAACAAUGCCACUUCACAUGGUUUUAAUAAACAAAAUAAAAUUUGUGUCCUGAAGAGGCUAAGAACAGUUAAAAGGUGGAGCUAGAAAAACCACCCUAUACUAGCCUUAGGUGUAUUGUAUUUAUUUAAGUUAAACUCUUAUUAAAAAGAGUCUCAUAAAGGAAAAUAUAGGUCAUUACUUUCUGUAACUACUUAGUAUUUUUAGUUAACUAACAUAUAUAUCUAUGUACUGACCAAUUAUUUGCUCGUACAAUUUAUCAAACCAAUUAAAUAUACACUGUUAAAUUUAUUUCCCUGUCCCCCGAGACAGAUCCUGGCUACGUUGCCCAGGCUGGAGUGCAGUGGCGCGAUUUUGGCUCACUGCAACCUCUGCCUCCCAGGUUCAGGCAAUUCUCCUGCCUCAGCCUCCUGAGUAGCUGGGAUUACAGAGGCCUGCCACCAUGCCUGGCUAAUUUUUGUAUUUUUAGUAGAGAUGGGAUUUCACCAUGUUGGCCAGGGUGGUCUCAAACUCCUGACCUCAGGUGAUCCAGCCGCCUCGGCCUCCCAGAGUGUUGGGAUUACAAGCAUGAGCCAGCACGCCUGGCCUGAAAAUACAUUUUGAUGAACAAAAAAUUUUUAAUUUUUUUUUUUUUUUUUUUCCUGAGACAGAGCUUUGCUCUGUCACCCAGGCUGGAGUGCAAUGGCGUGAUCUUGCCUCACUGCAACCUAUGCCUCCUGGGUUCAAGCAAUUCUCCUGCCUCAGCCUCCCGAGUAGCUAGGAUUACAGGCAUGGGCCACCAUGCCCGGCUAAUUUUUUGUAUUUUUAGUAGAGACGGGAUUUCACCAUGUUUGCCAGGCUGGUCUCAAACUCCUGACCUUGUGAUCCGCCCCCGUGGCCUCCCAAAGUGCUGAGAUUGCGGGCGUGAGCCACCACUCCCAGCCAAAAAUUUUUUAAUUUUAAAAGUCAAUGUAUAUCAUUUGUAUUUUAUAGUUAGUGCUUUUUUUGUAUUGUUUAAAUUUUUAAAAUUCUUCCAUUAAUCUAAAAUAUUUUCAUGUGUGCUUUCUACUAAGAGAAUUUAAGUUUUGUUUUUGACAUUAUAGUUUUUAAUACAUUUGGAUUUGGAUCUUAUAUCUUGUAUGAUACAGAACUCUAAUUUUCGCCUUUAACUACAUGCAUAAUCAUUUUUUCCACCUCCACUUAUUGAAUAGUUCCUAAUUUUCCCAUCAAUAUCAUGUGUUUCUUCUGGCAUAGCCAAAGUCCCAUAAAUGUGUGGGUCUGUUGUAGUUUCCUAUUUAAUUCAGUUAAUUUGUCCAAUUUGUUUUAUUAUGCCUUAAUUACCACAGCUUCACAGUAAGUCUUUAUGUCUGAUAGGGCAGCUUCCUCUAGUGUCUUCAGAAAUUUCCUGACUUUAAAAAAAAUCCUUAUUGUUCAUGCUUUUUUAAAGAAUUAGCUUUACAUGAUGCAAGAAAAAGAUCUGUUGGAAUUUUGAUUGUAAUUUUGUUAAAUCUAUAGGUCAACUAAUUACAAUAUUGAAUCUUCUUAUGCACAAACAUGGUAUAUUUCUCCAUUUAUUCAGGUCUUUAUUUAAUGUCUCCUAAUGUCUUUUUGUAGUUUUUACUUAGAGAUCUUACAUAUUUGUUAUUAUAUUUACUCCUAGGUACUUGGUAUUCUCUAAGAUUAUUGAAAAUGCUGUCUUCUUUUUAAUUACAUUUUCAGGUAUUUGUCAUUGGUAUAAAGAAAUGUAUUUGACAAUAAUCUUAUAUUCACCUUAAAUUCUCUUAUUUCUAAUAAAUUGUACUUUUUUUGGUUUUCUACAAAAAUGAUCAUAUCUAAAAAUAAAGUUAGAUUUGUUUAUUCUUCUGCAUCAUUUUGAAUUCAGUUUAUUAUUUCAUGUGCUAUUAGAACCUUUAAUUUAGUAUUAUUUAUUUUUUGAUUUGUAAAUCGGAAUGCUUUUAUUAUCUUUUCAUUUAGGAUGAUGUUUACUGUAGGUUACUUAGAUACGCUCUAUGGAAAUCUCUUUUAUUUUUUCUAAGACCUUUUAUUAUGAAUUUAAUGUUGAAUUUUAUCAAAUGCUUUCUCUGCAUUUAUUAGAAUAAUUAUGAUUUUUCUCUAUCUGUUAUUAUAAUGGGUCAGAUUUAUAGAUUUUUCUCAUACUAAGCCUAUCCUUGUAUUCCUUGGAUAAAUCUAACUUGGUAAUGUUUACUUUUUUCAUAACUUUUAGCUAUUAAGUAGAUACCAAAUUUUCUUUCAAGGUCAAGUUUGAUAGUUAUAAAAAACUAGUGAUACUAAGUCAUAGAAAAUAUACUUUAAAAAACUAGUGAUACUAAGUCAUAGAAAAUAUACUUUAUUUUAUAAAAAGACUUUAACUGUAAAAAGUAAAAAAAAAAAAAAAAAAAAAAAAAAAAAAAAAAAAAACCUGGCCGGGUGCGCUGGCUCACCCCUGUAAUCCCAGCACUUUGGGAGGCCGAGGCAGGCAGAUCACGAGGUCAGGGGAUCGAGACCAUCCUGGCUAACACGGCGAAACCCCGUCUUUACUAAAAAUACAAAAAAUCAGCCGGGCGUGGUGGUGGGCGCCCGUAUUCCCAGCUACUCGGGAGGCUGAGGCAGGGGAAUGGCGUGAACCCUGGGGGGGCGGAGCUUGCAGUGAGCCAAGAUUGCGCCACUGCACUCCAGCCUGGGAGACAGAGCAAGACUCUGCCUCAAAAAAAAAAAAAAAAAAAACCCCUAGAAUUUUAAUUACUGCCUUUACUUUUAAUUCAGUGGUUUUUAGUAUAUUCACAGAGUUGUGUAACAAUCACCAUGAUCAAUUUUAGCAUAUUUUUAUUACUUCAAAAAGCAACUCUGGACUCAUGAGCAGUCAUUCACUCCCCAUCUGCUCCCAACCCCUUUGUUCCCAUCCGCCCACCCAGCCCUAGGCAGCCACUAAUCUACUUUCUGUCUCUACAGAUUUGCCUGUUCUGGACCUUUCAUAUAAAUGCAAUCAGGCAAAAGAAAGGAGAUUUCAGUGCUCAGUGUUGCCAGGUAUCUCUGCCUCCAGUUUUGCACCUUCCUGGAAAGCUCAUUUUGUUCAGAUUGUCUGCCUGCCUCUAUCUAUCCUGCCUUCAGUGGAUGGCAGAGAUUUCAUCUCUUUUGUUUGCACAGCCUUGAAAGGUGCUUGAUACAGAGAUGCUUGGUAAAUACUUGCAGAAUAAAUUAUAAAAGUAACACAUACUCAUAAAAAUUUUAAAGUAAAAAUAUGUAUAGUAAUAAACACUUGGUGCUUAUUACAUAUCAUCCAGUGGGAUAAAUGCUUGUAAGUAUAGUCAGCCUUCUGUUUCCCUGGGUUCCAGAUUUGUGGAUUCAACCAACUGUGGCUCUAAAAUAUCUGGGGGGAAAAUGGCAUCUGUACUGAACAUGUACAUACUUCUUUUCUUGUCAUUCCUUAAACAAUACAGUAUAACUAUUUACAUAGCAUUUAUACUGUAUUAGGUAUUAUAAGUAAUCUAGAGAUUAUUUAAAAUAUACUGGAGGAUGUGCAUAGGUUAUAUGCACAUACUAUGCCAUUUUAUAUCAGAGAUUUGAGCAUCCAAGGAUUUGGGUAUCUGCAAAUUUUGGUAUUCUUGGGAGGUCCUGGAACCAAUCUCUUACAGAUACCAAAGGAUGGCUGUAUUCUCCAUUCCUUUUCACCAGCUGAGAUCGUACUGUUAUCUGCACUUAACAGAUUAAGAAAUAGGUGUGAUGAGUAAUUUGUUUAAAUUCUGUGGUUGAUUGUGUUACUUUUCGACUGUAUUCUGUGCUCUUCCCUACAGGAGGAUUAUUCAUUCCUGUUUACUUGAAUUCAGGCAACAUCAUGUAACUUGAUUUAAGGAACCGAUACAUGAGUGGAAAUUCUGUGUGGCAUUUCUGAGCAGAAGUUUUAUGAGGCAGCACAUGCUCACUGUGUUACCUGUUCCUUCUGCCAUGAGACUGGCAGAUGGACAUUCUCUAUCAGCCAGGAUAUCAGAAUGAAGAAAUGUAGAACAUAGACCAAAACACCAAUGAGAAAUAAGCGUUUGUUGUUUUAGGGAAAGUGUGUUACCACAGCAUAAUUUAACCUAUCCCAAGUGAAUACAUAUUCAUGGAGUUAAUAUCUAUACCUGAAAAUUGAAACUCAGGUUGUCUACAUCUAACUAUGCCUCUGUCUUUUCCAAAGGUAUAAAGUAGGAGAAACUUCCCCAUGAUCCUACUCUUCCAGUGUUAACUACAGUUAAAAUUUAGUGUAAAAUUGUUUAAUACUUUUUCCUAUGUGUAUGUCAAUGUUCAUUUUUUUAAAACUGGGACCACUUUAUAUGACACAUACUAUUUUAGAGCUUCCUUUUCCUACUUAGUAAUAUAAAAUGGACCACUGUCACAGGUUAGGUUUUCCAUAAACAGACACUGAGUUUGGAAUAUAAGAUUAUUUUCAGGGAUCAUCACCUUUAAAAGGAGAAGUGAAGAAGUAGGAUUGGGGAGAGCAAGAAGUAGAGCUGUGAUGCUGGCCCACAGAUGUCUCUCUGGGGUUCGUAUUGUUUGUCAGAGUUAUCCCAUAUCUUGUAGAAGUGGCCAUGCUUUUCAACCCACUCCUUACUCAGUGGCCUGAUGUGGGCUGCCCUGAGCAAGGUAGCUUUCUGCAGCUGAAGCAGACACUGAAGUUGCUGGCAGCUAACUCCAUCUUUGCAGCUGGGCAGCAAAUCCUUUCUUGAAGUGGGAUCUGGACAUUUAUAUUUGUCUAGCACAGUUCAUUUUUUGCAUCACUUGGAAACCCUUCUCUGUUUUCAUUCCUUUUGUUCUUAAUGUAUAUUCUCAAGCCUCUUGUCUACAAUCACUAGAUAAGUUUGUUGUAAACUGUCUUAACUAUAAAAUGAAGAAGGUAUAGGUAACUAUAAUAUGAAGAAUGCAUUGGAAGUGUAAAUUUUAAAGGAGUUUGCUGAUUAAUAACUCUUUUGUUGUAACUUUUGUUCAAUGAUGUUUGACAAAUACUUUUUUUUUUUUUAAUUUGAGGCAGAGUCUCACUCUGUUGCCCAAACUGGAAUGCAGUGGCAUGAUCUCAGCUCACUGCAACCUCCGCCUGUUGGGCUCAGAGAUCUUCCCGCCCCAGCCUCCCGAGGAGCUGGAACUACAGCCUUGUGCCACCACACCCAGCAAAUUUUUGUAUUUUAUUGCAGAGAUGGCAUUUCACCAUGUUGCCCAGGCUGGUCUUGAACUACUGGACUUAAGCAAUCCGCCCACCUGGGCCUCCCAAAGUGCUGAGAUUACAGGCAUGAGCCACCGCGCCUGGCUGACAAAUACUUUUUAAAAAUAUCCAAGUUUCUGGAUUUUAUUCACCUCUACAAAAAUGAUUUAAGUCCUGUAGAAACAUGUGCCCACAAAUGACACAGUAAUCUCCAGCAAUGUGUUCAACAGCACGUUGAGCAUAAUUGAGCAUAACAGACAUUUUUAAAUUUGUUGUCUCAAAUUCCAUUUAGAUUUGGCUAUUGAUGCAAAAUUAGGGAGGUCAUUUUUCACUAGAUUACUUUCAAUGCUGGAAUCCAUACUUAAAAAAAAAAAAAGAAGAAACUAGAUUUAGUAUAUCUUUCUUUGCCACUUCAGGCUUCCAAAGGAGAAAAAUUCAUGGAUAAGUCAUUAACUGUUACAAAUGCAUUAUGUCUUCAGUUGUGAUGGUUAUGAUAAAACAUGUUUAUUUUAUAUUUGUAAUUUAGUAAAAUUAGUUGAUUCAAGGAGCUCUAUCAUAAAUGGGAAGUAAUAAAAUGAUAAUAAUUAAAGCAGGUUAUUUUUCUCUGGUCAUUUUUGCAUUCUUUGUAGCUCAUGAAGUAGAUUUGUUGCUUUCAUCUGUGUCUGCCAUGUAUGCUAGGCAGGAAAGAAAGGAAGUAAGAAAGAUAUAGCCAUGUGGGGAAAGGAGACAGAGGGAAGGAGGAGGAAAGAGAAGGAAGGAAAUAAAAUCAACUCUUCGUUUUCUGCACUUUCCCUGAGCAAGUUCUUUUUUAUUUGUGUGUACAAUGAAUCUGCGUUUCUCCCUGCCACGCCCCCUCCCAACCCCUUUGGCUAAUAGAAAGCUCUGAAAAAAAUUUUGAAACUUAUAUCCAAAUGCAGUGGAUAUAAAUAAAGUUAUUUCCCCUGGCUUUUCAAAAAUAUGAGUGAGUGUUGGAUAUUAGAAAGCUACCUUACUUCUUUAGAUCGAGACCAUCCUGGCUAAUACGGU
RNAcentral lists this long non-coding RNA (9717 nucleotides) under Homo sapiens (human). Its description in RNAcentral is "non-protein coding lnc-FAM217A-1:5". Lineage: Eukaryota; Metazoa; Chordata; Mammalia; Primates; Hominidae. The record is from RNAcentral.